This 497-nucleotide ribosomal RNA is filed under the name uncultured bacterium. RNAcentral describes it as "partial 16S ribosomal RNA". It matches the Rfam family "Bacterial small subunit ribosomal RNA", at positions 28 to 507 of the family's 1533-position model. The record is from RNAcentral.
GAUGAACGCUGGCGGCGUGCCUAAUACAUGCCAGUCGAGCGAACAGACGAGGAGCUUGCUCCUCUGACGUUAGCGGCGGACGGGUGAGUAACACGUGGAUAACCUACCUAUAAGACUGGGAUAACUUCGGGAAACCGGAGCUAAUACCGGAUAAUAUAUUGAACCGCAUGGUUCAAUAGUGAAAGACGGUUUUGCUGUCACUUAUAGAUGGAUCCGCGCCGCAUUAGCUAGUUGGUAAGGUAACGGCUUACCAAGGCAACGAUGCGUAGCCGACCUGAGAGGGUGAUCGGACAGACUGGAACUGAGACACGGUCCAGACUCCUACGGGAGGCAGCAGUAGGGAAUCUUCCGCAAUGGGCGAAAGCCUGACGGAGCAACGCCGCGUGAGUGAUGAAGGUCUUCGGAUCGGAAAACUCUGUUAUUAGGGAAGAACAAAUGUGUAAGUAACUAGGCACGUCUUGACGGUACCUAAUCAGAAAGCCACGGCUAACUACGUG